Molecule: ribosomal RNA, 356 nt
Filed under: Gelasinospora sp. FLS-2010
Lineage: Eukaryota; Fungi; Ascomycota; Sordariomycetes; Sordariales; Sordariaceae
Description: eukaryotic LSU rRNA
Rfam family: 5.8S ribosomal RNA (bases 69-222)
Source: RNAcentral
CCGCCGGAGUGCCGAAACCAAACUCUUGAUAUUUUAUGUCUCUCUGAGUAAACUUUUAAAUAAGUCAAAACUUUCAACAACGGAUCUCUUGGUUCUGGCAUCGAUGAAGAACGCAGCGAAAUGCGAUAAGUAAUGUGAAUUGCAGAAUUCAGUGAAUCAUCGAAUCUUUGAACGCACAUUGCGCUCGCCAGUAUUCUGGCGAGCAUGCCUGUUCGAGCGUCAUUUCAACCAUCAAGCUCUGCUUGCGUUGGGGAUCCGCGGCUGCCCGCGGUCCCUCAAAAACAGUGGCGGGCUCGCUAGUCACACCGAGCGUAGUAACUCUACAUCGCUAUGGUCGUGCGGCGGGUUCUUGCCGU